AAGAACAUCGAUAGCAGCCAUUCUUUUUUGUUGACUUUCAGCAACGCAACCAUUUUCUAAAAAGAAAAAGCUGAACCAAAAAUCGUAAAGAGAGAACGGCUUAAAACAGAAAACAAAAAAAGAGUCCAAAGAGAGGGGAAAACGAGAAUGAGAGGGGACGACGAUUCAGUCCAACAAACAUAGGGGAAAACUCGAGCUUAGGUAGAAAAUUGACUGAGAUUUGGGAAAUUCUUUUGGUCUUUUGAUUACUUCUUUAAGAUUUGUUUCUGCUCAUCCUCACAAUUUCAAAAUACAUACGAAGAAGAAAAAGUAAAAAUGCUUCUAUUAGUUGGUGAUUGAAUUUCAAAAAUACCAAAAUAUAUACACAUAUUACUGUUAGUUUCUUCCUUUUGAUGUGAGUAUUCAAUUAUGGAGUUUGAUUGAGACUUGAGACGCCGUUGAGUCGAAGUUACCGUUCGUGUUUCCAUCAUGGUUCACGGAUCGUCUUUGGUGUUGCUCUUCUCGAUUGAUUUUUCAGAGCCGGGGUUCUGUAUCUACGGAUUCUUCUACACUAAUUUAAGAGAUUUUACUCCAGAGGUGGAUGCUCGACGAGUCGACACGUGUAAGCAAAUAUAGGUAGGAUAUAAGUCGGCAAGAUGUUGGUACCGAUUAUGAACAUGUGACCGGUGAUGUAUAAGUUCCGAAGGCAUUGGAACUUUUUACGAGGAUUCGAAAGGAAGAUAUCAGUUGGAAAAGAAAGCAUUCAAUGAUCAUCCUUUACGAAGAAUCUUUGUAUUAACGCCCAACCAUUAUGCAAACAUCAAGAGGGGUUUUAUUCAUAUUAAAUAAGAGCUUGAUUUGAGAAACUUGUCUCAUAUAAAUAGGAGGAUUUGUAUCCAUUGUUGGACACGAAACAUUUUGUAUGCAAAAAAGGUAAAACUAGCUCUUAUUUUAUUAAAUAACAUUCUUUUUUUUGUUCUUCA
Nicotiana tabacum (common tobacco) is the source of this 962-nucleotide long non-coding RNA. RefSeq lists it as uncharacterized. The record is from RefSeq and is a predicted model, not a curated record. Lineage: Eukaryota; Viridiplantae; Streptophyta; Magnoliopsida; Solanales; Solanaceae.